GUAGGGCGCAAGCAUUAUCCGGGAUUUAUUGGGGCGUAAAGCGUCGCGUAGGCGGCCCGCUACAUCUCACUUUAAAUGUCGAGGGCUUAACCUCGUCUCCGGUGAGAGAUGGGCAGGCUAGAGGAUUGGAGGGGUUUCUGGAACUUCCGGUGUAGCAGUGAAAUGCGUUGAUAUCGGAAGGAACACCAAGAGCGUAGGCAGGAAACCAGUCAACUCCUGACGCUGAGGCACGACAGCUAGGGUAGCGAAGCAGAUUAGAGACCUGCGUAGUCCUAGCCGUAAACGCAUGAGUGCUAGUUGCUCGUCUUUUGAUGGGUGACGUAAGCUAACGCGUUAAGCACUCCGCCUGGGGAGUACGACCGCAAGGUUAA
RNAcentral lists this ribosomal RNA (371 nucleotides) under uncultured organism. Its description in RNAcentral is "partial 16S ribosomal RNA". It matches the Rfam family "Bacterial small subunit ribosomal RNA", at positions 527 to 897 of the family's 1533-position model. The record is from RNAcentral.